CUGGACUGACACUGACACUGAGGUGCGAAAGCGUGGGUAGCAAACAGGAUUAGAUACCCUGGUAGUCCACGCCGUAAACGAUGUCGACCAGCCGUUGGGUGCCUAGCGCACUUUGUGGCGAAGUUAACGCGAUAAGUCGACCGCCUGGGGAGUACGGCCGCAAGGUUAAAACUCAAAUGAAUUGACGGGGGCCCGCACAAGCGGUGGAGCAUGUGGUUUAAUUCGAUGCAACGCGAAGAACCUUACCUACUCUUGACAUCCUGCGAACUUGUGAGAGAUCACUUGGUGCCUUCGGGAGCGCAGAGACAGGUGCUGCAUGGCUGUCGUCAGCUCGUGUUGUGAAAUGUUGGGUUAAGUCCCGUAACGAGCGCAACCCUUGUCCUUAUUUGCCAGCGGGUAAUGCCGGGAACUCUAAGGAGACUGCCGGUGACAAACCGGAGGAAGGUGGGGACGACGUCAAGUCAUCAUGGCCCUUACGAGUAGGGCUACACACGUGCUACAAUGGCCGGUACAAAGGGUUGCGAGCUCGCGAGAGUCAGCUAAUCCCGAAAAGCCGGUCUCAGUCCGGAUCGGAGUCUGCAACUCGACUCCGUGAAGUCGGAAUCGCUAGUAAUCGUGAAUCAGAAUGUCACGGUGAAUACGUUCCCGGGCCUUGUACACACCGCCCGU
RNAcentral lists this ribosomal RNA (669 nucleotides) under uncultured bacterium. RNAcentral describes it as "bacterial SSU rRNA". It matches the Rfam family "Bacterial small subunit ribosomal RNA", at positions 729 to 1397 of the family's 1533-position model. The record is from RNAcentral.